Cinara cedri is the source of this 750-nucleotide non-coding RNA. The record is from the annotation of a GenBank genome assembly. NCBI's taxonomy places the organism in Eukaryota, Metazoa, Arthropoda, Insecta, Hemiptera, Aphididae.
GUAAAAAUAAAAAUAUCGCAGAAACCGUUAAAACGUAAAAUAUUAAAAUUGUUUUAAUGUAUUUUGUUUUUUUUUUUUUUUUUUUUUUUUUUUUUUUAGUUUUGAGUUUUGAGUCUUGGAAUUCAAUAUCUAUUCGUUUUUAUCGAAUUUUCGCCGAAAAAAAUUACUGUUUUGUUUCCUAUGUGUAUACAGAAUAUUUCCGAAUAUUCUACCAACCGUUACACCAUACUCUGUACAAAAAUGGUCCAAUAACGAAAUUUUUCAAAUGUUUUCUCUAUCUUCAAAACCUUUUUAGUAAAAACUCUUAGUAUAUUUGCGCGAAUUUAAAAAUAAAUAUUCCGUGGUAUUUUGGUCCAAGGUUACUAACUAAUAAACAAAUAAAUAUUGGCAAACCAAUGCCCAAACAUGAUGACUAAUCGGGAAGAGGUAUUGUUUUGCUUUAAACGCUCCUCCUUAACAUACCUCCAAAAUGAAGCGAGAAGAAUAAACGGAAUGUACCUAUAGGUGUAAACAUAUGUAUUGCGUUGAUGUCAAUAGUAUGUGCCUUUUAGGGGGAUUCAAUUUGCAUGCCUCGUUACCACUAUUAUUAUGCUAAAAUCCCAUUUUUUUUUUUUUUUGGAAUAAGUAUAACAUACAAGUAUAGCUUUGUGAUGUAAUUGUAUUUGGUUUUUUGUUUGUUAACAAGGAAUGUGGUGUUUAUACAGACUUAACUAGGAUUUUUUUACAAAGAAGAUUAUUUAUUUAUGGCCU